RNAcentral lists this ribosomal RNA (491 nucleotides) under uncultured bacterium. RNAcentral's name for it is "bacterial SSU rRNA". It matches the Rfam family "Bacterial small subunit ribosomal RNA", at positions 28 to 517 of the family's 1533-position model. The record is from RNAcentral.
GAUGAACGCUAGCGACAGGCCUAACACAUGCAAGUCGAGGGGCAGCACAAGGAGCAAUCUGAGGUGGCGACCGGCGCACGGGUGAGUAACACGUAUGCAACCUACCUGUAAGAGGGGAAUAACCCGUUGAAAAACGGACUAAUACCGCAUAACACUGUAGAACCGCAUGGUUUGACAGUUAAACAUUUAUGGCUUACAGAUGGGCAUGCGCAUGAUUAGCUAGUUGGUGAGGUAACGGCUCACCAAGGCAACGAUCAUUAGGGGUUCUGAGAGGAAGGUCCCCCACACUGGUACUGAGACACGGACCAGACUCCUACGGGAGCAGCAGUGAGGAUAUUGGUCAAUGGGCGAGAGCCUGAACCAGCCAAGUCGCGUGAAGGAUGAAGGUUUUAUGAAUUGUAAACUUCUUUGCAGGGGAAUAAAGUGUCCGACGUGUCGGAUUUUGUAUGUACUCUGCGAAUAAGGAUCGGCUAACUCCGUGCCAGCAGCCG